Molecule: non-coding RNA, 72 nt
Organism: Protobothrops mucrosquamatus (brown spotted pit viper)
Lineage: Eukaryota; Metazoa; Chordata; Lepidosauria; Squamata; Viperidae
Source: the annotation of a RefSeq genome assembly
AAACUUUUAGCUCAGAGGUAGAGCAAACUCCUGAUAAGGGUUUAGUCCCUAGUUCGAUUCUAGGAAAGUUUA